RNA transcript from Mandrillus leucophaeus (drill), 1261 nucleotides. RefSeq lists it as uncharacterized. The record is from RefSeq and is a predicted model, not a curated record. The transcript has a single exon. NCBI's taxonomy places the organism in Eukaryota, Metazoa, Chordata, Mammalia, Primates, Cercopithecidae.
GGUCGGCAGAGAGCGCGGAGAGACGCAGAACGCAGCCAGCUCCUCCAGGGCCCUGCAGGCCCUCCGCCCCCGGGCCCGCGGGUGAACUGGGGGGCCCUGGGACAGGCCUACCCUGUGCCAUGCAGAUACCGGAGGCCUCUGCUGCGGCUGCUCACUGGCUGUGCCCAGGCCUUGAAGCCGCAGCGAACCUCUCUUCCCCACCCCACCUCGGUGACUGAUGGCGGCGGCGGCCUCUCCCAGCCCGGACUCGGCCGGCCGCCGGGUCUUCCGGCCCAAGCCUGCCGGGCCUCAACGAAACCCCGGCAGAGCCGCCGGGACGCAGCGCCUCUGGGCGGCGGCGGGCGUGACGGGCCGGGAAGCAUGGCGGCCGCUCGAACGCCGCGGGCGGAGGCUAUUAGGGCGUGUAGGGCCCAGGAAGGCGGCCUAAGGACGCAGGCAGGCUCGGCUGCCUCUUUAGGCCACAGAGCCGCGCAGAUCCGGUUCCCGGGUGACCACUCUGUCGCCAUUGGGCGAAACCUACCUAGUCCUGACGACAACGGACAAAGGCCUUAACGGGCCUGGGAGGUGAGCGAAGUCCCGAACGACGGCAGGUGGAACGAUUAGCGGCCAUCGGGCAGUUGGUCUUCGUUCUGCCAGACUUUGCUGUCUGGCAGAGAAGAGAGAAAUGGUAGAAGACAGGCCACGUUUGGCCCUUUGUAAAUGCCCACCACCCUCUGGGAAGAUUUACUGGUCGAUUAUGGAAGGCUUGCGUAUAUAAUGUGAAAAAGCUGCUCUCAACUCCACCCCAACCUCUUAAUAGAAAACAUUUGUCACAUCUAGCCCUUUUAGAUGGAAAGAGGUUGCCGAUGUAUGAUAGAGUUAGAAAGUCACACAUCUUGUAAAUUCUCAUUUGUUUAAAAGAAAUCAUAGAAAAUACAUGUCUUCUGGAGAUGAAGAUCUUCUGGAGACGUGACUUUUGGAAAUGAAGUUGUUAGACGGCCUCUGGAAGCGAUACGUCCACGUUUGUUAAGUGGGUUAGAUGACACGGAGCUGGAAGACGUGAGAAGGAAGAGAAGAAGGUUCUAUGCUAGACUGGUCAUAUUUAGAAGACAUUUUCAUAUUCUAUCCAUUGUUUUGUGUGCAUUUUAUUCCUCACUAUUGUGUAUAUAGUUGACAAUGCUAAGAUUUUUUGAAAUGUCUAUUCUUUUUAGAUGUUCUGAAGUGCCUGAUAUAUGUUAAAAUUAGAGGUAGCAAAAUAACAUUUUGUAAAUAUCUUUUUGUU